UACGAAGGGGGCUAGCGUUGCUCGGAAUUACUGGGCGUAAAGCGCACGUAGGCGGCUUUCUAAGUCGGGGGUGAAAUCCUGGAGCUCAACUCCAGAACUGCCUUCGAUACUGGAGAGCUUGAGUCCGGGAGAGGUGAGUGGAACUGCGAGUGUAGAGGUGAAAUUCGUAGAUAUCGAGAGGAAUACCUGUGGCGAAGGCGGCCAACUGGACGAGUACUGACACUGAGACACGAAAGCGUGGGGAGCAAACAGG
Molecule: ribosomal RNA, 253 nt
Filed under: uncultured bacterium
Lineage: Bacteria
Description: partial 16S ribosomal RNA
Rfam family: Bacterial small subunit ribosomal RNA
Source: RNAcentral